GNUUGCAUGGGGGACAAUCUGACCGCACUGCCGCGUGCGUGAAGAAAGGUCCUUCGGAUUGUAAACCUCUGUUUGUUUCGGGAAGAACAUCCUGCUGGGNCUAAUACGCUCCGUUGCCGUAUGACGGGUACCCUGGCAGAAAUAAGCCACCGGCUAACUACUGUGCCAGCAGCCCGCGGUAAUACAUUAGGGUGCAAGCGUUAAUCGGAAUUACUGGGCGUAAAGCGCGCGCCAGGCGGUUCUUUAAGUCAGAUGUGAAAUCCCCGGGCUUAACCUGGGAACUGCAUUUGAAACUGACCGGCUAGAGUGCGGAAGAGGGAAGUGGAAUUCCCCGUGUAGCAGUGAAAUGCGUAGAUAUGCGGAGGAACACCGAUGGCGAAGGCAGCUCCCUGGGCUUGCACUGACGCUGAUGCACGAAAGCGUGGGGAGCAAACAGGAUUAGAUACCCUGGUAGUCCACGCCCUAAACGAUGUCAACUGGUUGUUGGUCCUUUUCUGGAUCUAUAACCUAACUCAAGCGUGUAAUUUACCCCCUGGGGAGUACCGGCGCCAAGGUUAAACUCUAAA
Molecule: ribosomal RNA, 566 nt
Filed under: uncultured bacterium
Lineage: Bacteria
Description: bacterial SSU rRNA
Rfam family: Bacterial small subunit ribosomal RNA
Source: RNAcentral